This 735-nucleotide ribosomal RNA is filed under the name uncultured Pseudomonadota bacterium. RNAcentral's name for it is "bacterial SSU rRNA". It matches the Rfam family "Bacterial small subunit ribosomal RNA", at positions 28 to 752 of the family's 1533-position model. Lineage: Bacteria; Pseudomonadati; Pseudomonadota. The record is from RNAcentral.
AUUGAACGCUGGCGGCAGGCCUAACACAUGCAAGUCGAACGGUAACAGGAAACAGCUUGCUGUUUCGCUGACGAGUGGCGGACGGGUGAGUAAUGUCUGGGAAACUGCCUGAUGGAGGGGGAUAACUACUGGAAACGGUAGCUAAUACCGCAUAACGUCGCAAGACCAAAGAGGGGGACCCUCGGGCCUCUUGCCAUCGGAUGUGCCCAGAUGGGAUUAGCUUGUUGGUGGGGUAACGGCUCACCAAGGCGACGAUCCCUAGCUGGUCUGAGAGGAUGACCAGCCACACUGGAACUGAGACACGGUCCAGACUCCUACGGGAGGCAGCAGUGGGGAAUAUUGCACAAUGGGCGCAAGCCUGAUGCAGCCAUGCCGCGUGUAUGAAGAAGGCCUUCGGGUUGUAAAGUACUUUCAGCGGGGAGGAAGGGAGUAAAGUUAAUACCUUUGCUCAUUGACGUUACCCGCAGAAGAAGCACCGGCUAACUCCGUGCCAGCAGCCGCGGUAAUACGGAGGGUGCAAGCGUUAAUCGGAAUUACUGGGCGUAAAGCGCACGCAGGCGGUUUGUUAAGUCAGAUGUGAAAUCCCCGGGCUCAACCUGGGAACUGCAUCUGAUACUGGCAAGCUUGAGUCUCGUAGAGGGGGGUAGAAUUCCAGGUGUAGCGGUGAAAUGCGUAGAGAUCUGGAGGAAUACCGGUGGCGAAGGCGGCCCCCUGGACGAAGACUGACGCUCAGGU